GUACUCUCAAGCUAUGCUUGGUGUUGGGUGUUUGUCUUUGCGCAGCCUAGACUCGCCUUAAAUAUAUUGGCAGCCGGUAUACUGGUUUGAAGCGCAGCACAAUUGCCUUUUAAGCCUGUAUUAUUAGCACCCAUACAGAUUAUCAACAC
Molecule: unclassified non-coding RNA, 149 nt
Filed under: uncultured Phaeosphaeria
Lineage: Eukaryota; Fungi; Ascomycota; Dothideomycetes; Pleosporales; Phaeosphaeriaceae
Description: partial internal transcribed spacer 2
Source: RNAcentral